GGUCAAUGUGUUUUUGCAUUAACCUAUAAAUGUAACUGUUUUUGACGUUCUUAGAUCAGAUUCUCCUGGACACUGUGCCAAGUAUGGUAGCUACUCCUUGAUUGAGGAUCGAAUUAACAAAGUUUUGGAUGUUCAGCUUGUCCAAAGCUCAGAAGUCCCAAGCAGCUCUUGGUGUGAGCUAGAGGGUCUAAAGCGGAGUAUGCAGUUCCUGAUGGACCAAGACAUGCAAGUGUCUGCUCUGAUAACAGACAGAAAUCGGCAGGUAAUGAUGCUAGGAGAGAUCUAAAGCUGAACAGCAUUGACAGGCACAGUAUCACUCAAAAUAAAUUCUAUAAAAUCAAUUUGUGUUUUAGGUGGCUAAGUGGGUACGUGAGAAAAUGUGUUCAGAAGGAACAAAGCAUUUCUUUGACGUCUGGCAUAUUGGGAAAAGUGUACAGAAAGCACUGGAUGCUGCUGCAAAAGAGAGGGACUGUGAGGAUCUGAAGCUGUGGAGGCCUGCCAUUAUCAACCAUCUCUACUGGACCGCAGCUUCCACCCCUACAGGAGAUCCAGAUGAGAUGCAGGCAAAAUGGCAGAGUAUGAUAAAUCAUGUACAGGACAUACAUGAACACAGCUCUCCAGCAUUUACCAGCUGCGCACAUCCACCGUUGGAAGGAGAGGCAAGAAACAAGGAGUGGCUGGAACCAGGUACAACAUAAUAGCCUAUGUUAAAA
This is a long non-coding RNA of Carassius carassius (crucian carp), 713 nucleotides long. RefSeq lists it as uncharacterized. The transcript is spliced from 3 exons. NCBI's taxonomy places the organism in Eukaryota, Metazoa, Chordata, Actinopteri, Cypriniformes, Cyprinidae. The record is from RefSeq and is a predicted model, not a curated record.